RNAcentral lists this ribosomal RNA (253 nucleotides) under uncultured bacterium. Its description in RNAcentral is "partial 16S ribosomal RNA". It matches the Rfam family "Bacterial small subunit ribosomal RNA", at positions 524 to 776 of the family's 1533-position model. The record is from RNAcentral.
UACGAAGGGGGCUAGCGUUGCUCGGAAUCACUGGGCGUGAAGGGUGCGUAGGCGGGUCUUUAAGUCAGGGGUGAAAUCCUGGAGCUCAACUCCAGAACUGCCUUUGAUACUGAGGAUCUUGAGUCCGGGAGAGGUGAGUGGAACUGCGAGUGUAGAGGUGAAAUUCGUAGAUAUUCGCAAGAACACCAGUGGCGAAGGCGGCUCACUGGCCCGAUACUGACGCUGAGGCACGAAAGCGUGGGGAGCAAACAGG